This 230-nucleotide ribosomal RNA is filed under the name uncultured bacterium. Its description in RNAcentral is "partial 16S ribosomal RNA". It matches the Rfam family "Bacterial small subunit ribosomal RNA", at positions 15 to 228 of the family's 1533-position model. The record is from RNAcentral.
GAUCCUGGCUCAGGACGAACGCUGGCGGCGUGCUUAACACAUGCAAGUCGAACGAGAAUCUACGGAUCGAGGAUUCGUCCAAGUGAAGUAGAGGACAGUGGCGGACGGGUGAGUAACGCGUGAGGAACCUGCCUUUCAGAGGGGGACAACAGUUGGAAACGACUGCUAAUACCGCAUGAUACAUUGGGGUCGCAUGGCCUUGAUGUCAAAGAUUUAUCGCUGAAAGAUGG